AUUUCUAACAAUGCCCCAUGCUUUUAGAAUUUUAGAGAAUAGAAAACUAGGUAAUAUUAUAUACUGUGUUUUUCAAUGAAAUAUGUCUUUUGGUAUUGAAAAAUGUCCUUUGGGCUUGAAUAAUCAUCCAGCACAAGCAAGCUUCAACGCAUGUUCAUCUGAAAAGUAAAUGAAAUGUUAAACUUAGAACCUUGUGCAAAGUACCAGUGUUUUAAAGUCAGGUUUGUCUCGAUGACACAUUAUGGUCAUGCACUAAUAUUCUAGAUUUCAUAAAUAGACUAGAGAAAGCCUUAGUUCUCAUAUAUUGCUAUUCCAUAACCAUGCUAAUAUAAUUAUGCUCUCCAAGGGUGUUAGCAGCAUAAGCCCUAGCCUUUAAAACUUGAACAUAUUCAAAAUAAAUGCUUCUCAUCUAAUUGUUGUAAUUGGGCAUUUAUAUUCUAAAAAGGUAUAGAAGAAGGAUUUUUCUGUAUCAAUUUACUAUCCACAUUGAGUCUUAUCUCAUGGGAUCUCCACUCAAUUACGUUGGGCUACCAUGACGGAUGACUAACUAAUAGGUCUCAAUUCCAUCCUUUAACAUGAAUUAUGGACUAGGUUCCUUGCAAAUCUCUUGCUAGAUAGUUUAGCUAGGUUCUUAGCAAACUAAUAUAGUACUAUAUCUCUAUUUUGAUUUUCUCAUACAUAAACACAUGCGGGCAUAAUAUAUAUGGGUAAUUAAUUUCCCACCCUCCAAAAGACCGUGGUAUAACAAAAAGUCUCCAUUGACCAUAACUAAAAUCUUCGGUCCAACAACUUCACUAAGUUUAAUUUC
Molecule: long non-coding RNA, 808 nt
Filed under: Phoenix dactylifera (date palm)
Lineage: Eukaryota; Viridiplantae; Streptophyta; Magnoliopsida; Arecales; Arecaceae
Description: long non-coding RNA (PDAC_LNC004976)
Source: RNAcentral